CAGAGAACUCGCUCCCUUUUACCUACCUGACUUGUACACACUUUUGGCAUCUCUUGGGUGACUGCUCUGACCAUCUUCUUAGUGACCCUAGGUGCCACUACAGUGUUUUCGUAAUGCACUGAAUUUACCACAUUGCAUUACAGUUCCUUGCAGUGGGUUGAUUCCCAAACAAAUGCCCCAUUGUGCCUGAGUUUUUUCUAUGAAUUGCUACCAAAAGUAAUCUGA
This 225-nucleotide long non-coding RNA is filed under the name Bos taurus (domestic cattle). RNAcentral's name for it is "long non-coding RNA NONBTAT007128". The record is from RNAcentral. Lineage: Eukaryota; Metazoa; Chordata; Mammalia; Artiodactyla; Bovidae.